GACGAACGCUGGCGGCGUGCUUAACACAUGCAAGUCGAACGGAAAGGCCCUUCGGGGUGCUCGAGUGGCGAACGGGUGAGUAACACGUGGGUGAUCUGCCCUGCACUUUGGGAUAAGCCUGGGAAACUGGGUCUAAUACCGAAUAUGACUACAUGCUUCCUGGUGUGUGGUGGAAAGCUUUUGCGGUGUGGGAUGGGCCCGCGGCCUAUCAGCUUGUUGGUGGGGUAAUGGCCUACCAAGGCGACGACGGGUAGCCGGCCUGAGAGGGUGACCGGCCACACUGGGACUGAGAUACGGCCCAGACUCCUACGGGAGGCAGCAGUGGGGAAUAUUGCACAAUGGGCGCAAGCCUGAUGCAGCGACGCCGCGUGAGGGAUGACGGCCUUCGGGUUGUAAACCUCUUUCAGCACAGACGAAGCGUGAGUGACGGUAUGUGCAGAAGAAGGACCGGCCAACUACGUG
This 462-nucleotide ribosomal RNA is filed under the name uncultured bacterium. RNAcentral describes it as "bacterial SSU rRNA". It matches the Rfam family "Bacterial small subunit ribosomal RNA", at positions 28 to 507 of the family's 1533-position model. The record is from RNAcentral.